RNAcentral lists this ribosomal RNA (514 nucleotides) under uncultured bacterium. Its description in RNAcentral is "partial 16S ribosomal RNA". It matches the Rfam family "Bacterial small subunit ribosomal RNA", at positions 28 to 523 of the family's 1533-position model. The record is from RNAcentral.
GACGAACGCUGGCGGCGUGCCUAACACAUGCAAGUCGAACGGAGAAUCAGCAAUGGUUCUUAGUGGCGAACGGGUGAGUAACGCGUAGACAACCUGCCUUCUAGAUGGGGACAACACUGCGAAAGUGGUGCUAAUACCGAAUGUUGUAAUAAGCCUGCAUGGGCUUGAUACUAAAGGUGGCCUCUAUUUAUAAGCUACCACUAGAAGAUGGGUCUGCGUCUGAUUAGCUAGUUGGUGAGGUAAUGGCUCACCAAGGCGAGGAUCAGUAGCCGGUCUGAGAGGAUGAACGGCCACACUGGGACUGAGACACGGCCCAGACUCCUACGGGAGGCAGCAGUGGGGAAUCUUCCGCAAUGGACGAAAGUCUGACGGAGCAACGCCGCGUGAGUGAAGAAGGUUUUCGGAUCGUAAAGCUCUGUCUUUGAGGACGAAUGUGUUUAAUGUGAAUAAUGUUAAAUAAUGACGGUACUCGAGGAGGAAGCCACGGCUAACUACGUGCCAGCAGCCGCGGUAA